Molecule: long non-coding RNA, 227 nt
Filed under: Lathyrus oleraceus (garden pea)
Lineage: Eukaryota; Viridiplantae; Streptophyta; Magnoliopsida; Fabales; Fabaceae
Description: Pisum sativum (pea) long non-coding RNA (PSAT_LNC031424)
Source: RNAcentral
UUGUCUCCCGUUGCUACUCAAGUGGUUCUUGUCUUUUCUACCAACCAAUGGACCGUUUGUGGAUACUCAGAAUACUCACAAAUGGACUCAGAGGAUCAUGUCGCUUACAUCUUAUGAUAUCAAGUGGCAAGCUUAUAGGAUUAAUGUGCGUAACGUCAUUAUGAGUUGUGGAGAGUUUCACAAUGUUCCACUCAUAGGGACUAGAGGUUGCAUCAACUACAACCCGG